UUUAAUAGAAGCCAAAUCAGCGGCCAUUCACUGUUAAUGAAUUUAUUGAUUGAAGUUUCUAAUCCUAUUAAAG
This 73-nucleotide transfer RNA is filed under the name Amblyomma marmoreum. Its description in RNAcentral is "tRNA-Asn". The record is from RNAcentral. Lineage: Eukaryota; Metazoa; Arthropoda; Arachnida; Ixodida; Ixodidae.